GCCAUGCAUGUCUAAGUAUAAACGAUUUAAUCGUGAAACCGCGAAUGGCUCAUUAUAACAGCUAUAAUUUACUUGAUCUUGACACAAUCCUACUUGGAUAACUGUGGUAAUUCUAGAGCUAAUACAUGCAUUAAAGCUCUGACCUCACGGGAAGAGUGCAUUUAUUAGAACAAAACCAAGCGGCUUCGGCUGUUUCUGGUUGACUCAUAGUAACUGAGCUGAUCGCAUGGUCUUGCACCGGCGACGUGUCUUUCAAGUAUCUGCCGUAUCAACUUUCGAUGGUAGUGUAUCUGACUACCAUGGUGAUCACGCGUAACGGAGAAUAAGGGUUCGGCUCCGGAGAGUUCGCCUGAGAAAUCGCGAACACAUCUAAGGAAGGCAGCAGGCGCGAAAAUUACCCACUCUCAGCACGAGGAGGUAGUGACGAAAAAUAACGAGACCGUUCUCUUAUGAGGCCGGUCAUCGGAAUGGGUACAAU
This 478-nucleotide ribosomal RNA is filed under the name Acrobeloides sp. Sourhope farm. RNAcentral describes it as "SSU rRNA". It matches the Rfam family "Eukaryotic small subunit ribosomal RNA", at positions 48 to 524 of the family's 1831-position model. Lineage: Eukaryota; Metazoa; Nematoda; Chromadorea; Rhabditida; Cephalobidae. The record is from RNAcentral.